GAUGAACGCUGGCGGCGUGCCUAAUACAUGCAAGUCGAGCGAACAGACGAGGAGCUUGCUCCUUCGACGUUAGCGGCGGACGGGUGAGUAACACGUAGGUAACCUACCUAUAAGACUGGGAUAACUUCGGGAAACCGGAGCUAAUACCGGAAAAUAUUUCGAACCGCAUGGUUCGAUAGUGAAAGAUGGCUUUGCUAUCACUUAUAGAUGGACCUGCGCCGUAUUAGCUAGUUGGUAAGGUAACGGCUUACCAAGGCAACGAUACGUAGCCGACCUGAGAGGGUGAUCGGCCACACUGGAACUGAGACACGGUCCAGACUCCUACGGGAGGCAGCAGUAGGGAAUCUUCCGCAAUGGGCGAAAGCCUGACGGAGCAACGCCGCGUGAGUGAUGAAGGUCUUCGGAUCGUAAAACUCUGUUAUUAGGGAAGAACAAACGUGUAAGUAACUGUGCACGUCUUGACGGUACCUAAUCAGAAAGCCACGGCUAACUACGUG
This 497-nucleotide ribosomal RNA is filed under the name uncultured bacterium. RNAcentral describes it as "partial 16S ribosomal RNA". It matches the Rfam family "Bacterial small subunit ribosomal RNA", at positions 28 to 507 of the family's 1533-position model. The record is from RNAcentral.